AUACGGAGGGUGCGAGCGUUAAUCGGAAUUACUGGGCGUAAAGGGUGCGUAGGCGGCUUGAUAAGUCGGAUGUGAAAGCCCCGGGCUUAACCUGGGAAUUGCAUUCGAUACUGUCAGGCUAGAGUAUGUCAGAGGUUGGCGGAAUUCCUGGUGUAGCGGUGAAAUGCGUAGAUAUCAGGAGGAACACCAGUGGCGAAGGCGGCUAACUGGGACAAUACUGACGCUGAGGCACGAAAACGUGGGGAGCAAACAGGAUUAGAAACCCUAGUAGUCC
RNAcentral lists this ribosomal RNA (274 nucleotides) under uncultured bacterium. RNAcentral's name for it is "partial 16S ribosomal RNA". It matches the Rfam family "Bacterial small subunit ribosomal RNA", at positions 523 to 796 of the family's 1533-position model. The record is from RNAcentral.